This 69-nucleotide antisense RNA is filed under the name Streptomyces sp. PRh5. Its description in RNAcentral is "ASpks sRNA". It matches the Rfam family "ASpks TB sRNA". The record is from RNAcentral. Lineage: Bacteria; Bacillati; Actinomycetota; Actinomycetes; Kitasatosporales; Streptomycetaceae.
CUUCACCGAGCCCAGCCACAGCGGCCGGUCACGGUCCUGGCCGUAUGUGGCGAGGAUGGCCUGCGCCUC